GACGAACCGUGCUAACGUUGUUCGGAAUCACUGGGCUUAAAGGGCGCGUAGGCGGUCUGCCAAGUCAGGGGUGAAAUCUUUCGGCUUAACCGGAAAAGUGCCUUUGAUACUGGCGGACUUGAGGGAGGUAGGGGCAGAUGGAACUGGUGGUGGAGCGGUGAAAUGUGUUGAUAUCAUCAGGACCUCCGGUGGCGAAAGCGGCGUGCUGGACCUUUACUGACGCUGAUGCGCGAAAGCCAGGGGAGCGAACGGG
This 253-nucleotide ribosomal RNA is filed under the name uncultured bacterium. RNAcentral's name for it is "partial 16S ribosomal RNA". It matches the Rfam family "Bacterial small subunit ribosomal RNA", at positions 524 to 776 of the family's 1533-position model. The record is from RNAcentral.